CGUCAGUCCGUCAGUCGGUGGCGGCGCGUCGCCGUGUUUGCGUGUGGAGUGUGUAAUUUUCAUGUCACGUCGUACAUCACCCCCCCGUCGUCCACCGUCUUUGUGCCACUCUCUCUAAUACUCCUCUAAUCGCCGCCCCCGCUGUGACAUUAUUCGCAUCACUCGAUGUCAUUAUUGAACUCUUUUACCGGUUAAUUAAAUUUCCGUCUCUCGUGGAGAAGCGAGCGACGGUGCGUUUCUCUCCGCAAAUCCUGUGUCAAUCCCGCUAAUCAAAUCGAUAAGGAUUUGUGACAUUUGUAAAGUAACAUAGAAACGCUUCGAAUGUCUUUGUUCAAAGUGCGAUAUUCUAUUUUAUAUUUAUAAGCUUUCUUUUGUGUGUUUAAUAUUGUAAAAUUAUUAAGUAGAUUUUCAAGUUUAUAAUUGAUGUAUAAUUAUAUGGUAUUGUACUGUUGCUCUUAUUUGAUUGAAAAACAAAAAUUAUAGUCAACGAGAGAAGAUUACGAUGCUCUCAGAUGUCUGUCGAACUAUUAUCAAAAUAAAUAAUUAAAAUUUUUUGUUUACAGUUAAAAAAUGUUUAGUUAGAUUCUCGCAGAUUAUAUGUAAAUCGUUUAUAAUUAAUAAGAUUGCUAAAAGUUUUCCUUACAAUUAGAAGUAACAAUUUAUAUUACAUAGUUACAUUAACAAUUAUUCAAAAGAAAACAAUUAUUUCUGUUUAGAACAUCGAUUGUGAACGUACUGAUGCUUCGCAUUUUUGAGAGAGCCAUAAAAGAGGUCUUCACAAUAUUUUAUUUCCUUACAAAGAAACUGGAAACGUUGACUAAACUUGAACGCUGGAAAUCGCGUGGAAUCGACCACUCGAGUACGUCUGUUUGCCACACAUUUCUCGCGCUAAAAGCAACUCAAGCGAACUCGGGGGUGUAUUGAUCAAAAGGUUAAUUAUCGUACGUUCGGCGAGAGCGUGAUCGAAAGUUUCCGAAACUUGAGUGGAGUGACACUCUACACGCGCACGUUCUCAUGUAAAUUACGCGCGCGUAUUUCCCGCAAGUAAAUAUUUUAUCACGUGCACAUAAUCACGAGGACCCGGAAGCCCGAGGAAAUUUCUCCGGAAACCACGUCGAUAAGAACGAGGAUUACGCUUGACGACGCAAGAGGAUGGAGAUGUCAGUCAUGAUUCCUGUCGAUGAAGACCUCUCGAGUCAUCACGAUGACGCCGAGCGCGACGGUGGUCGGUAUCCUUGAAGAGGAGACGCGCGUCGCGACAAUGCACGGGUGAUACGGGAUAAGGCUCCUUCAAGACAAGAUGUUGAUCAAGGAGUAUCGCAUACCACUGCCUCUCACGGUAGAGGAGUACCGAAUCGCCCAGCUGUAUAUGAUAGCGAAAAAAUCCCGAGAGGAGAGUAAGGGUGCCGGCAGCGGCGUAGAGAUCAUCGAGAACGAGCCGUACAGCAACGGGCCGGGUGGUAAUGGACAAUACACGCACAAGAUCUACCACGUGGGCAGCCACCUGCCCGGUUGGUUCAAGAGCCUGCUGCCCAAGUCGGCGCUGAUCGCCAAAGAGGAGGCAUGGAACGCCUAUCCUUAUACCAAGACGCGCUACACGUGUCCGUUCGUCGAGAAAUUCUCCGUCGAGAUCGAGACCUACUACUUCCCGGACGACGGUCACCAGGAGAACGUCUUCAAUCUCACUGGCAGUGAUUACAGGAAUAGGAUCGUGGACGUGAUCGACAUCGUCAAGGAUCAGCCUUACGGGGCCGACUACGUGAAGGAGGAGGACCCGAAGCUGUACGUAUCUGAGAAAACCGGAAGGGGUCCGCUGGAGGACAUGUGGCUGGAGGAUUAUUGGGCCGAUGUGGAAGGAAAGCAACAGCCAACGCCGUCGGGAAAGUCACUAAUGUGCGCGUACAAGCUAUGCCGAGUAGAGUUCCGUUAUUGGGGCAUGCAAACGAAAUUAGAAAAGUUCAUACACGACGUAGCUCUGCGGAAGACGAUGGUGCGGGCACACAGGCAGGCGUGGGCCUGGCAGGACGAGUGGAACGGUUUGACGAUGGAGGACAUCCGGGAGAUUGAACGGCAGACGCAGCUGGCGCUCCAGAGAAAGAUGGGUCUGGGUGACUCGACGGAUGACGAACUCGACAACGAGGAAGCGGGCGCGAUGGCGACGACGAUGACUUCGACAAUGGUGACGGCAACCGCGACGGCCACGAUGACACCGCAGCAAGAAUCGGACGUCGCUAAGACACUCGCGGCCACCCUGGGCAGCAUCGAGAAGAACGAAGAAGUACAGAGUCCGCCGUCCGUCAGGAAGCCGUCCGACAUCCCCAUCAUCAACACGGCGGCCAGUUCCGAGGGCGAGAUCAGUCCCGAGGACUCGCCGGUCGACCUGAACGAGAUCAAAGCCGCGACCAUCGAUGGAAAGAAGGACUGGAGGAAGAACGUGUCCGCACAUUCGCCGAGUUCCAACAAGAGUUUCGAUAUCCAAAUUGCGAACUGGAGGAUGGAGAGCAUCGUCAGAGAGUCCGAAUCCGGCAGCGACGACGAGUUCUUCGAUUGUCAAGCUGGGUUCAUUAUACCUGUUAUACGCAAAGAGAACUUUGAGGAUAACUCUUCAUUAGCUAAAUGGAGUUCUUUGGAUCUUCUAGCAGAAGGGGAGGACACCACUGUGCGUACAUCUCCUGCUGCAAACGAGCAGGAAGACACGAUAUUUUCGUCGUCAUAUCUGCAACGCGUCGCCAGCGAACGAAAUAGUAAGAGGCUGCAGAUCUGCACGUCUACUAGUAUCGACGUGUCGUGCCCGACAUCUCCUCAACACUCUCCUACGCAUCAGCCGUGCAAAAUUACCGUGUUAAUUAUCGUGGUGCACGGUGGUAGCCUUUUAGACGCGAAUGUUGAUUUAACGGCAAAGAAGUCAGACAUAACGACAUUCCGCGGAGCCUUCGAGUCCGUCAUGAGACAGCAUUAUCCUAGUAUGGUUGGGCAUGUGUCCAUCAAAUUUGUCGCCUGCCCUUCCAUCUGCACCGAGGGUCUUGGAAUUUUAUCAAGUCUGAGUCCAUAUAGUUUUGAUAUGUCGCCUUCAUGCAUGGACACGCCGCAAGUGACGCACGAUACCAUCCCGAUCGGCGCAAUCCCGUUGCUGGCGAGUUCGACCUCGGAUUAUCAAGAUGCGGUGUCGCGCGUCGUAAUGGGCGCCAAUCAGGUAUAUCACGAGUUCAUCAAGAGCGACGAAGGCAAAGGCUUUACUGGGCAGAUCUGCUUCGUGGGUGACUCGGUGGGUUCCAUCCUGACUUACGACGCCCUGUGUAGAGCGACGCAAUACUCGCGACACAGUAGCGAGAACAGUAUUCUGGAAGGCAGUGGUCAGCAGGGUGAUAACGGCGGAAAUUUAGAAGAUGGCAAGCAUCUAUCCGCGCCCUCUCCCAGAAGAAGAUCUUCUGGCACGAGUCCAUCAGACAAUCCACACCACAACAAGCUUGACUUCGAAGUGGGCGAUUUUUUUACGUUUGGCAGUCCGCUUGCAUUGGUCCUGGCUUACAGGAAGAUCGCAGCGUCCAGUGACAAGAAUAGCUUCAUUCCCAGGCCAUUGGUCAAUCAAGUGUACAAUCUGUUCCAUCCCACCGAUCCUGUAGCCGCGAGAUUAGAACCCCUGAUCUCGGCAAGGUUUUCGUUAAUUCCGCCGGUCAACAUCGCCCGAUAUCAAAAGUAUCCGCUCGGCAACGGUCAGCCUUAUCACUUGCUGGAGACUAUACAGACCAACCCGCAGCUGUUCGCUGAUGGACUGAACAUUCCUAAUCUUCAACUUUUAAGAAGACUAUCCGAUAUAUCGCUUCAAAGUACAAUGUCGGGCAUUAUCGACAAUGUUCCUUUACAGGCGGUGUCUGCCCUGACGCAAAAGUGGUGGGGCUCCAAGAGGCUAGAUUACGCGCUCUACUGUCCAGAGGGUCUCGCCAAUUUUCCUACGAACGCCUUGCCACAUCUCUUCCACGCUAGUUACUGGGAGUCCUCGGACGUGAUCGCGUUCAUUCUGCGGCAGUUGGGCAGAUUCGAUUUGCCGCUGCUUGGCAACGAGGAGAAAGAUCUCGCUUGCUUCCGUCCAGGUCAACCUAGAGAGAAAUGGAAUAAAAAGCGUACCUCCGUUAAAAUUAAGGUAUCGUCAUUUCUCAUAAGGUUGCUUAAGCGUGAUCUUAGAUAUAGAUAUAAGAACGUUGCUGCCAAUCACAGAGCGAACGACGUCAUCGUGAGGGAAGGCGCACCACAAGUAUUAAUUGCUAGGUUCAUGUACAGUCCUAUUGAUAUGAUAACUUUAACAGGUGAGAAAGUGGAUAUCCAUAUUAUGAAAGACCCACCAGCAGGCGAGUGGACGUAUCUAUCUACCGAGGUAACUGAUAAGAAUGGUAGAAUAAUUUACAAGAUACCGGACGAUAAAGCGCUAGGUUACGGACUUUAUCCGGUAAAGAUGGUUGUAAGAGGAGAUCAUACAUCUGUAGACUUUUUUAUGACUGUGAUACCGCCGAGGACCGAGUGCGUGGUCUUUAGCAUAGACGGCUCCUUCGCCGCCAGCAGGUCCGUGAGCGGGAAGGAUCCGAAAGUCCGGGCCGGUGCCGUCGACAUUGUGAGGCAUUGGCAGGAACUGGGUUAUCUCAUCAUUUACAUUACCGCGAGACCUGACAUGCAACAGCAGACAGUGGUUUCCUGGCUGUCGCAACACAACUUUCCUCACGGUCUCGUCUCGUUCGCGGACGGCCUUUCCAGGGAUCCGCUCGCCCACAAAGCCGCUUACCUGAAUAAGCUUGUGAAGGAGCACGGCAUGAUAAUUCAUCAGGCAUACGGCAGCGAGAAGGACAUUAGCGUGUACACGGCGAUAAAUCUCAAGCCAAGCCAAAUCUUCAUCAUCGGCAAGGCAUCCAGGAAGCAUCAAGCUCUGGCGACAAUACUGUACGACGGCUACGCCGCUCAUCUGAGUACGCUGCAGGCACACGGGGGUUCGCGUCCCGCCCAGGGUAACGCGCGCAUGGUGAUUCCGAGGGGUCAGUUUGGCUUACCGGGACAAAAUACUUCCCUACGUCGACGAAGUACCUUGGCGCAAACUGCACAGUCUUCAAUAUUCUUUUGUCGCGAUCAGGCAAGAAAGGGUUGAGGGAAAGGACACCGUUUGCGGCACUCGCGCGCGAGCUGAGCACAGCUCUUCAGCCGUGGCAAGCGUCUAUGUGUCCUCAGUGUGUGAAAACGAGCACCGGCUAUGUUCCAGUAACGACACUGCGGUGAACUCCCCGGCGCGCAACAGCGUCUACUUAAAGCGGAAAAUCUACCUUACUCACAUCUAACACACGCCUAUAAUCUACGUACAAUUAACUUACUCACAUUGGUACCUGCUAUGAGGAUAUGUCGCGUUGUCAGCGUAGUUAAAUAUCACUCUGUCUCUGUCUCUCGCUCGGCGAAAAGCAGUUGUCGCCAUCCUACGCUCGAACUUAUUGUUUGUCUAUUGGCUAGUACAUAUGUCCAGGAUAUGUGGUUAAACCCGCUCUAUGACCCGCUCUAGAUACGUUCGGGAAAAAUAGAGUCGUUUUCGUUACCCUUCCGAAAUGAACCGGUUUCACUUUAGCGACGAAGGUAAACCGCCGUCUCAUGUUCCGCUUGAAACUUGUUAGAUCAGUGUUUUGUGUUACAAAAGACCACCUAGAUCCACCACCUAGACUGUUUUGGGUUUCCUCGCGGGUUUCCCUUAACAGAGUUGAGUUUAAACUUUUAAUUGCAGUUAAAUUACUGACCGUGCAUUCAAAAGAUGCAUCAUUCUUGAAGAAUAUAACAAUUGGUCUAAAUUGAGUGAUUAACAUCUUCUUAAAAUGGACUUGAAUAUGAUUUAAUAAUAUCUGUUAAGACAUACGUCUAAUUGUUUUUAGUAAAAAUUUGGUAAAAAAAGUACUGAACAUGUUUACAACUUUAACUUAAGAAAUACAAAAGAAUUCGAGAAGAUUAAAAAUUUUAUGUAUGACAUAACUAAUGUUAUGUAGAACUGAAUCUCUAAUCUCUGAAGAGAUUUUAAGUUGAUCGAGACUAUUGUUUAUGCAUAAUUAAUCUUGUAAUAGAAUAAUAUAAUAAAAUUUACAAGAAACUUGUGGAAUCAUCAUACUAUAAAAUUCGCUUAUCGAGUUCAAUAAAAUAAAAUAAAAGUAGAAUCUAGUUAAAUGGAAACUUAAUUGAACGAUCUCGGAUAAACAGUUUCCUUGGUGGUAGAUCAGGUUGAAUCAUUGCUUGUGUAAAAAGGCCACGAUAGCACGAAUGAGGAUGCGAUAGACUUACGAAGGAUGUGACACCAUGCACGAUUAUUAUAUAUGUGAAUGUGCAAGUCUCGAGAACUCACGGACACACACCGUGCGAUCUCUCUUAGAGGCAGAUGCUAGCAUUUUCAUCCGAUCAUGCAACUACGCUGUGCCGAUCAUAAUUCACGCGAGUCGUACUUAAUCAAUCUCGUCGCUCUGAGCGGUUCUGGUUCGUUCAUGAAUUGCAUUCCAUAGGUGGCGAGACCAUGGGACAAGUGUGGGACGAUAGCGUACGCUAGUAAGAAAGCAGUGCCAAGAAUUAAUCGAAAAGGAAAUGUAAGGAAGGACUCCCCCGCAGGCCAUUCUAACAAGAUCUCUUCACGUGCUUGUAGAAAUUGAUCGAUUGAUCAUGAGAUUCGUUCCGUGAACCAUCACAUCCCAUAGCUGUUUUGCUGCCUCUAGAGAGAAAGUCAUUUCGCCCUUUUUUCGCUUAUUUAUUAAUGGGCUCCCUUUAUAGUUCUGGCAGCUUUAUCGUAUUUUAUAGUGUUAGUAGACUCGACGAAGACUCAACGAGCUUAUCACGUGUUGAUUUUAUCUGUUGCUCCCUUGUCCAAUAAACUAUCACGAACAUUUUGCAAUAAAAUAAUGACAAUAAAUGGAAAGUUGUCUACAAAAAAAAAAUCUAGAACUGUGCAUAAAAUUAAUGCAUAAAAUUAAUCUGUUAGAUCAUUAACUAAGUAAUUCGGGUUGCAUCUAGAUGGCAAUAUAAAUGUUGUAGUAAUGUUUUGGAGAAUUUUGGUUUUUGUUUUUUGAAAUUUGCCUAUCCUAAUAUAAAAUUAAUACACAAUAAGCUAUGUUGUGCUGUCGUAAGUAUGUGUUUAGUGUAAUUCAUCGUCAUCUAGAUGCGAUCCUUAGUUAAUGACCUAAACUAUUACUUAUUCUUAGUUAAUGAUCUAAACUAUUGCGCGUGUGAAAAAAUAAAUUGCUUCCGUAUUUCAAGAUCGUUAUAGUAUCAAAAUCACAAAUUGGUGAUAGUUGGUAAUUAUGGCUGCCAGAGCUAUAAUAUCUAGGAUUACGUAAGAGAAGCUUGGACAGUUCAGCACCUGUCCCGCUUAGUUGAAUGUUUAGCGCUGCGAUUCCACGUCAUCCAAGGACAACAGAUCCGAAUGAUCGUCUCGCUGUCACUUGCAGGGUGGACAGGUGUCCACCGUCUACAUCUGGUUCAUUAUUUAUUAACGCUUCACAGAGAUGUUACGACACGCUUCCCAGCAGUAUAAUGUUAAACACGCCGCUUUCCCCGCUGUGCUGUACUCAUUCAUCCGCUUUCAAUGGCGAUUUGUAUUUAGCUCGCUCGCAAGCGAGUUUAACUUCAAUCCAAUCGAAGCACACUAUUCCACACGGGAUGCAGAAAAAUAUGCAGAGAGACAAUAAUGAAACAGAAUCGAAUCCGUAUUUUUUCAUAGCAAAAAUUGUAACUUGUAGCUCGAGUGUCUUAUUUUUAUCAGCUGUGCUGACCAAAUACUAAGGCUGAAUUGAACCUUGAAGCUGAUCAGAUACUAAAAGUGUUAAAGUUUUGAUGAAUUUCCAAGAGUUUCAAACG
Molecule: unclassified non-coding RNA, 7854 nt
Filed under: Ooceraea biroi (clonal raider ant)
Lineage: Eukaryota; Metazoa; Arthropoda; Insecta; Hymenoptera; Formicidae
Description: protein retinal degeneration B, transcript variant X1
Source: RNAcentral